GACGAACGCUGGCGGCGUGCCUAAUACAUGCAAGUAGAACGCUGAAGGAGGAGCUUGCUUCUCUGGAUGAGUUGCGAACGGGUGAGUAACGCGUAGGUAACCUGCCUGGUAGCGGGGGAUAACUAUUGGAAACGAUAGCUAAUACAGCAUAAGAGUAGAUGUUGCAUGACAUUUGCUUAAAAGUUGCAAUUGCAUCACUACCAGAUGGACAUGCGUUGUAUUUGCUAGUUGGUGGGGGAACGGCUCACCAAGGCGACGACUCAUAGCCGACCUGAGAGGGUGAUCGGCCACACUGGGACUGGGACACGGCCCAGACUCCUACGGGGGGCAGCAGUAGGGAAUCUUCGGCAAUGGACGGAAGUCUGACCGAGCAACGCCGCGUGAGUGAAGAAGGUUUUCGGAUCGUAAAGCUCUGUUGUAAGGGAAGAACGAGUGUGAGAGUGGAAAGUUCACACUGUGACGGUAUCUUACCAGAAAGGGACGGCUAACUACGUG
This 495-nucleotide ribosomal RNA is filed under the name uncultured bacterium. Its description in RNAcentral is "partial 16S ribosomal RNA". It matches the Rfam family "Bacterial small subunit ribosomal RNA", at positions 28 to 507 of the family's 1533-position model. The record is from RNAcentral.